AGUGAGCGGCAAGAGCUCAGAUUUGAAAUCGUGCUUUGCGGCACGAGUUGUAGAUUGCAGGUUGGAGUCUGUGUGGAAGGCGGUGUCCAAGUCCCUUGGAACAGGGCGCCCAGGAGGGUGAGAGCCCCGUGGGAUGCCGGCGGAAGCAGUGAGGCCCUUCUGACGAGUCGAGUUGUUUGGGAAUGCAGCUCCAAGCGGGUGGUAAAUUCCAUCUAAGGCUAAAUACUGGCGAGAGACCGAUAGCGAACAAGUACUGUGAAGGAAAGAUGAAAAGCACUUUGAAAAGAGAGUGAAACAGCACGUGAAAUUGUUGAAAGGGAAGGGUAUUGCGCCCGACAUGGGGAUUGCGCACCGCUGCCUCUCGUGGGCGGCGCUCUGGGCUUUCCCUGGGCCAGCAUCGGUUCUUGCUGCAGGAGAAGGGGUUCUGGAACGUGGCUCUUCGGAGUGUUAUAGCCAGGGCCAGAUGCUGCGUGCGGGGACCGAGGACUGCGGCCGUGUAGGUCACGGAUGCUGGCAGAACGGCGCAACACCGCCCGUCUUGAA
Molecule: ribosomal RNA, 543 nt
Filed under: Pichia kudriavzevii
Lineage: Eukaryota; Fungi; Ascomycota; Pichiomycetes; Pichiales; Pichiaceae
Description: eukaryotic LSU rRNA
Rfam family: Eukaryotic large subunit ribosomal RNA
Source: RNAcentral